This 95-nucleotide ribosomal RNA is filed under the name uncultured bacterium. RNAcentral describes it as "partial 16S ribosomal RNA". The record is from RNAcentral.
CCCCGUCACAUCACAAAAAGUGGAUUGUACUAGAAGUCUGUGCGCCGACCCCGCAAGGGAGGCAGCGGCCCAAGGUAUGAUUCAUGAUUGGGGUG